This 336-nucleotide unclassified non-coding RNA is filed under the name soil metagenome. Its description in RNAcentral is "partial contains 5.8S ribosomal RNA, internal transcribed spacer 2, and large subunit ribosomal RNA". The stretch from base 1 to 120 matches the Rfam family "5.8S ribosomal RNA", at positions 35 to 154 of the family's 154-position model. The record is from RNAcentral.
GAUGAAGAACGCAGCGAAAUGCGAUAAGUAAUGUGAAUUGCAGAAUUCAGUGAAUCAUCGAAUCUUUGAACGCACAUUGCGCCCGCCAGUAUUCUGGCGGGCAUGCCUGUCCGAGCGUCAUUUCAACCCUCAAGCCCCAGCCGGCUUGGUGUUGGGGACCGGCCCGGGCCGCCCCCCAAAUGCAGUGGCGACCUCGCCGCAGCCUCCCCUGCGUAGUAGCACAACCUCGCACCGGAGCGCGGAGACGGUCACGCCGUAAAACGCCCAACUUCUCAGAGUUGACCUCGGAUCAGGUAGGAAUACCCGCUGAACUUAAGCAUAUCAAUAAGCGGAGGA